CGAGGGCCUGGUCCACGGGGAUCGGCGGCUGCGGGCCGCCGGGCUCCGGGUCCUCCCCGGUGCCGGCGCCC
RNAcentral lists this transfer RNA (71 nucleotides) under Streptomyces sp. MP131-18. RNAcentral's name for it is "tRNA-Arg". The record is from RNAcentral. Lineage: Bacteria; Bacillati; Actinomycetota; Actinomycetes; Kitasatosporales; Streptomycetaceae.